This 1892-nucleotide long non-coding RNA is filed under the name Panax ginseng (ginseng). RNAcentral's name for it is "long non-coding RNA (PGIN_LNC003891)". The record is from RNAcentral. Lineage: Eukaryota; Viridiplantae; Streptophyta; Magnoliopsida; Apiales; Araliaceae.
GGUCAUUAAAAAGGGGUUUGGUGUAUAUAUUAGAGGGUAAUUAAUAGCAAAAAAUGUAUACAAAUAUAAAUGUAAUAAGGAUAUAUAAUAGUUUAUCGCACAAAUUCUUUGAACUGCAACCCAAGGAAAUGUAUUAUUACUGUGAGGGAAAAAAAGCAAUUACAAAGCAUAUACCCAGAGAGCCAAAACUAUACAACAAGACUAAAUUAAUUACAAUCCCAUGAAAUUAAUGCCUGAAAAUGAACUUGUAAUCAAAACCUAGCUAGAAAACAGUAAGUUACAUAAAUCAAAUAAGAAUUAACUGAUGUUGCAACCAAAAUUAACAAAUAACGACAAGUCCACCAAAAGAAAUGGUAUAUUAGUAUCUGUGUGACAUGGGCGCUCAGCUUUAAUUCGAGCACUCGAGAAAAUCCCCAUUAUAAAAUUACACCAAGAAAUGAACAAGGGCCUGCUCCAAGUUUCUUAUUCCUGACCUUGCAGCUUAGCAAAAAUGGAUUACUAAUCUUCAGGAGUUGCACAAAAAAAAGGCAGAUCUGAGUGUGAAAAGCUGGAAGGAAAAAUAAAACCUUUACUUUUUCGAUAUAGAAACAUGGUUUACACCAAAACACAGCUCAUCAAUUGAUUUUUUUUUAAUAAAAAAAUCGAGUAUAAAAUUUGAAUUCAGUAGAAACUCAGAACACAAUAAUCAAGAAACUAGUAACCCACCUCAUUUUAUGUGAAAACGCAGCCAGAACUACAAUGAGAGAAAGGGUUAGAGAGAGAAGGGUUUGUUGAUGGAGUGUUUUUUGGGGUUAUUUUGGAGCUGGGGGAGAGAUUUAAGCAAGUUGGGUUUACAUAUAUAUAUAUAUAUAUAUAUAUAUAUAUAUACAUAUUGGCGAGCUCAUGUACAUAAAAUUUGUUUAUCAGUAUCAGCUCAACUCUUUUCUUUAAGUUGCAGCAGAUAAAAAACCCUUGUUAAACUCAAAACAUGUAGCUAUUUUGUUGUAUAUCUGUGUUCAAUAUGAUUAGAAAUAACAUGAAGAACAUUUAGCUUAAUUUGGAUUUUCGAGCAGAAAAAAAAUCAACCCCUUAAUUCUGUUGACGUUUUUGUAUUAAGAAAAGGACAGUUUCUUGCUGUAACUAAUUGAUUAAACACCCAAUCAAAACUACUAGACAUUCAUAAACUCAUAUAAUCCAUACACUCAUAGUACUCAUCUUCUCAAAGUACAAGUAAAAACAGCUUGUGAAUAUAAUAAACAAGAUAAUUAAGAGUGACAAUACCAAAUUCAAAAACAAUUAAAUAAACUCAAUAAACAAAUCAACAAAAUUAAUGAAGAACAUCAAUCCACUACCACAUCUAUCAAAACAAAGUACAAACAAACAAAAUAAAAUAAUUAGUGACAUUUAUAUAUUAUCAAUUGGAAACAACAUGGUAUUGACAAUUUAACACCUACAACAUUAUUUGAUCCCCAUUAUUCAAAUAACUACUCUAAUUAAAGAAACCCCAUAAAACAUAAUAAACUAAUGAAUUAAAGAUUAUCCACAAUUCUUGAUAGAUCAAAAUCAUUGAGACCAAGAAGCAAAAAUGGAACCUUAAAAUAGUAUAUACUGCUGCUCAAUCUUGUUGUUGUUGCAAGAUGACUCUGUUCCUCCUAAAGCAUUCGAUUCGAUGGUUACUUCUACAUAAACUUUGGUUUCUUUGAGAUUUGGGUCAAGGGUUUCUGAUUUCGCUACUUUGUCUGUAAUCGGUAUAGUCUUAAGCUUUCAAAAUUAGGUAUAGAGUGAAAGAAUAGGGAGGAGAGGGUUGUGAGGGAGAGGAGAGGAGACGAGAGGAGACGAGAAGGAGAGGGUUGUGAGAGAAUGGUGAGGUGUCCAAGUUUAUUUUUCUUUUAAGGGGUGUUCGAAAAAACCUA